GCCGGAGAAGUAUGCCUCAGCCCUCAGGUGAGGGAGAGUCGCCAGGGAGCGUCGCCGUGGUUGGAUGGACGCCGCCCUUUUGCCUUGUGACGGAGGAAGCCGCGGAUGAGGGCGCGUUGCGCCAUGCGCGUGCGCCUGAGGGCGCUGCCGUCGCGUUGCCGCUGUGCCUCUUCCAGCCCCAGCCAUUCAUCCGCUCUAGCCGUUGCAUCCCGUGGAUGAGCAGCCGAGGCGCCUGGACGCGGGAGCCGCUAGCGAUGUUGCAGAUCGUUUGAUCCAGUGCAAGAAAAACUGAAAAAAGCAGUUAAUCUUCAGAUCAUGGGAAGAACAAAAAUUAAACGGAAUUAGUGUUUCCUGAUUGAUUUCCCGAUGCUCGUUCAGGCAGUCGCUGUGCUGACGCCGUUUAAGGGUUCGUGCUUGACUCGUUGGCUGCAGCCGCCGCCGACUGGUAGGGUCCCGCUGAUGGUGUCUGCGCCACCGGGAGGAGCGAGGCCGCAUCACCCCGCGCCGGAGGACGCCCCAUGCGCCAGAGGGCGCCUCGUGUGGUGCUUAUGUGCGGGUGACCGUGCCGCCGGGCGAGGACUGCGGUGUCGCGCGCCCGCCGGUGGCCACAGCGCUGUAGGGCUAGAACAGAGGCGUCUCCUAUGCUUUUGUGGCCUUCACGCUCUCGGUAGAGCCGAGUGCUGAUUGUUGUAAUAUCAAAGUAAAGGAGACAAAGAAGAGACACAAAUGAUUCUCUUAGUCUAUUGCAAUGUGUGAGACCCACUCAUAUACAGGCUGAAGGGGUGUGUUGGGGAGACACCUCUUUCCCAACAGACACUUUCUGGGAGGCAUUCCUCCCAUAUAAUUGAUCACAUGUUUUAUUUCUUAA
Molecule: long non-coding RNA, 868 nt
Organism: Triticum dicoccoides
Lineage: Eukaryota; Viridiplantae; Streptophyta; Magnoliopsida; Poales; Poaceae
Exons: 2
Source: RefSeq, a predicted model, not a curated record